GCGGAAGCUUGCUUCUGCGCUGACGAGUGGCGGACGGGUGAGUAACGCAUAGGAAUCUGCCCAGUAGUGGGGGACAACACGGAGAAAUCCGUGCUAAUACCGCAUACGUCCUACGGGAGAAAGCGGGGGCUCUUCGGACCUCGCGCUAUUGGAUGAGCCUAUGUCAGAUUAGCUUGUUGGUGGGGUAAUGGCCUACCAAGGCGACGAUCUGUAGCUGGUCUGAGAGGAUGAUCAGCCACACCGGAACUGAGACACGGUCCGGACUCCUACGGGAGGCAGCAGUGGGGAAUAUUGCACAAUGGGCGCAAGCCUGAUGCAGCAAUGCCGCGUGUGUGAAGAAGGCCUGCGGGUUGUAAAGCACUUUUAUUAGGAAAGAAAAACCCAGGGUUAAUACCCCUGGUCUUGACGGUACCUAAUGAAUAAGCACCGGCUAACUCCGUGCCAGCAGCCGCGGUAGUACGGAGGGUGCAAGCGUUAAUCGGAAUUACUGGGCGUAAAGCGAGUGUAGGCGGCAAUGUAAGUCGGAUGUGAAAGCCCCGGGCUUAACCUGGGAAUUGCAUUCGAUACUGCAUAGCUCGAGUCUGACAGAGGGAUGUGGAAUUCCGGGUGUAGCGGUGAAAUGCGUAGAUAUCCGGAGGAACACCAGUGGCGAAGGCGGCAUCCUGGGUCAAGACUGACGCUGACGCUCGAAAGCGUGGGGAAGCAAACAGGAUUAGAUACCCUGG
This 725-nucleotide ribosomal RNA is filed under the name uncultured organism. RNAcentral's name for it is "bacterial SSU rRNA". It matches the Rfam family "Bacterial small subunit ribosomal RNA", at positions 72 to 790 of the family's 1533-position model. The record is from RNAcentral.